AUACGGAGGAUGCGAGCGUUAUCCGGAUUUAUUGGGUUUAAAGGGUGCGUAGGCGGACGAUUAAGUCAGCUGUGAAAUGCCCGCGCUUAACGCGGGAAGUGCAGUUGAUACUGGUUGUCUGGAGUGCCGUUGCCGUGGGGGGAAUGUGUAGUGUAGCGGUGAAAUGCAUAGAUAUUACACAGAACGCCGGUUGGGAAGACCCUGAGCGAAGCGGGAACUGACGGUGGGGCAGGAAAGGGUGGAGACCGAACUGGAUUAGAUGCCCUGGUAGGCCGCGCAGGAAACGAUGAUGACACACCGUGGGCAAUAGACCGCCGGUUGCCAAGCGAAAGCGAUAAGUCAUCCCCCGGGGGAGUACGACCGCAAGGUGGAACCUCAAAUGAAUUGACGGG
This 392-nucleotide ribosomal RNA is filed under the name uncultured bacterium. Its description in RNAcentral is "partial 16S ribosomal RNA". It matches the Rfam family "Bacterial small subunit ribosomal RNA", at positions 523 to 917 of the family's 1533-position model. The record is from RNAcentral.